AAUCCAUAGGUUAAUGAGGCGAACCGGGGGAACUGAAACAUCUAAGUACCCCGAGGAAAAGAAAUCAACCGAGAUUCCCCCAGUAGCGGCGAGCGAACGGGGAGGAGCCCAGAGCCUGAAUCAGCAUGUGUGUUAGUGGAAGCGUCUGGAAAGGCGCGCGAUACAGGGUGACAGCCCCGUACACAAAAGCGCAUGUGCUGUGAGCUCGAUGAGUAGGGCGGGACACGUGGUAUCCUGUCUGAAUAUGGGGGGACCAUCCUCCAAGGCUAAAUACUCCUGACUGACCGAUAGUGAACCAGUACCGUGAGGGAAAGGCGAAAAGAACCCCGGCGAGGGGAGUGAAAAAGAACCUGAAACCGUGUACGUACAAGCAGUGGGAGCACAGGUUUACCUGUGUGACUGCGUACCUUUUGUAUAAUGGGUCAGCGACUUAUAUUCUGUAGCAAGGUUAACCGUAUAGGGGAGCCGUAGGGAAACCGAGUCUUAACCGGGCGUUAAGUUGCAGGGUAUAGACCCGAAACCCGGUGAUCUAGCCAUGGGCAGGUUGAAGGUUGGGUAACACUAACUGGAGGACCGAACCGACUAAUGUUGAAAAAUUAGCGGAUGACCUGUGGCUGGGGGUGAAAGGCCAAUCAAACCGGGAGAUAGCUGGUUCUCCCCGAAAGCUAUUUAGGUAGCGCCUCGUGAAUUCAUCUCCGGGGGUAGAGCACUGUUUCGGCUAGGGGGCCAUCCCGGCUUACCAACCCGAUGCAAACUGCGAAUACCGGAGAAUGUUAUCACGGGAGACACACGGCGGGUGCUAACGUCCGUCGUGAAGAGGGAAACAACCCAGACCGCCAGCUAAGGUCCCAAAGUCAUGGUUAAGUGGGAAACGAUGUGGGAAGGCCCAGACAGCCAGGAUGUUGGCUUAGAAGCAGCCAUCAUUUAAAGAAAGCGUAAUAGCUCACUGGUCGAGUCGGCCUGCGCGGAAGAUGUAACGGGGCUAAACCAUGCACCGAAGCUGCGGCAGCGAACGUAUCACCCAAGACAACUUUACGGAGUUGACGAUUGACGGAGCGAAGCGACGUCAAAGCGUUCAUUAAAGUCGAGUUGGCUUAGGGAUACGUUCGUUGGGUAGGGGAGCGUUCUGUAAGCCUGUGAAGGUGUGUCGUGAGGCAUGCUGGAGGUAUCAGAAGUGCGAAUGCUGACAUAAGUAACGAUAAAGCGGGUGAAAAGCCCGCUCGCCGGAAGACCAAGGGUUCCUGUCCAACGUUAAUCGGGGCAGGGUGAGUCGACCCCUAAGGCGAGGCCGAAAGGCGUAGUCGAUGGGAAACGGGUUAAUAUUCCCGUACUUGGUGUUACUGCGAAGGGGGGACGGAGAAGGCUAUGUUGGCCGGGCGACGGUUGUCCCGGUUUAAGCGUGUAGGUGUGUGUUCCAGGUAAAUCCGGUUCACUUUAACACUGAGGCGUGACGACGAGGCACUACGGUGCUGAAGCAACAAAUGCCCUGCUUCCAGGAAAAGCCUCUAAGCAUCAGGUAACAUCAAAUCGUACCCCAAACCGACACAGGUGGUCAGGUAGAGAAUACCAAGGCGCUUGAGAGAACUCGGGUGAAGGAACUAGGCAAAAUGGUGCCGUAACUUCGGGAGAAGGCACGCUGACACGUAGGUGAAGUGAUUUACUCAUGGAGCUGAAGUCAGUCGAAGAUACCAGCUGGCUGCAACUGUUUAUUAAAAACACAGCACUGUGCAAACACGAAAGUGGACGUAUACGGUGUGACGCCUGCCCGGUGCCGGAAGGUUAAUUGAUGGGGUCAGCGCAAGCGAAGCUCCUGAUCGAAGCCCCGGUAAACGGCGGCCGUAACUAUAACGGUCCUAAGGUAGCGAAAUUCCUUGUCGGGUAAGUUCCGACCUGCACGAAUGGCGUAAUGAUGGCCAGGCUGUCUCCACCCGAGACUCAGUGAAAUUGAACUCGCUGUGAAGAUGCAGUGUACCCGCGGCAAGACGGAAAGACCCCGUGAACCUUUACUAUAGCUUGACACUGAACAUUGAGCCUUGAUGUGUAGGAUAGGUGGGAGGCUUUGAAGUGUGGACGCCAGUCUGCAUGGAGCCGACCUUGAAAUACCACCCUUUAAUGUUUGAUGUUCUAACGUGGACCCGUAAUCCGGGUUGCGGACAGUGUCUGGUGGGUAGUUUGACUGGGGCGGUCUCCUCCUAAAGAGUAACGGAGGAGCACGAAGGUUGGCUAAUCCUGGUCGGACAUCAGGAGGUUAGUGCAAUGGCAUAAGCCAGCUUGACUGCGAGCGUGACGGCGCGAGCAGGUGCGAAAGCAGGUCAUAGUGAUCCGGUGGUUCUGAAUGGAAGGGCCAUCGCUCAACGGAUAAAAGGUACUCCGGGGAUAACAGGCUGAUACCGCCCAAGAGUUCAUAUCGACGGCGGUGUUUGGCACCUCGAUGUCGGCUCAUCACAUCCUGGGGCUGAAGUAGGUCCCAAGGGUAUGGCUGUUCGCCAUUUAAAGUGGUACGCGAGCUGGGUUUAGAACGUCGUGAGACAGUUCGGUCCCUAUCUGCCGUGGGCGCUGGAGAACUGAGGGGGGCUGCUCCUAGUACGAGAGGACCGGAGUGGACGCAUCACUGGUGUUCGGGUUGUCAUGCCAAUGGCACUGCCCGGUAGCUAAAUGCGGAAGAGAUAAGUGCUGAAAGCAUCUAAGCACGAAACUUGCCCCGAGAUGAGUUCUCCCUGAGACUUAGAGUCUCCUGAAGGAACGUUGAAGACGACGACGUUGAUAGGCCGGGUGUGUAAGCGCAGCGAUGCGUUGAGCUAACCGGUACUAAUGAACCGUGAGGCUUAACCUUACAACGCCGAAG
Molecule: ribosomal RNA, 2845 nt
Filed under: Salmonella enterica subsp. enterica serovar Typhimurium
Lineage: Bacteria; Pseudomonadati; Pseudomonadota; Gammaproteobacteria; Enterobacterales; Enterobacteriaceae
Description: partial 23S ribosomal RNA
Rfam family: Bacterial large subunit ribosomal RNA
Source: RNAcentral